RNAcentral lists this microRNA (21 nucleotides) under Homo sapiens (human). Its description in RNAcentral is "hsa-miR-7850-5p". The record is from miRBase by way of RNAcentral. Lineage: Eukaryota; Metazoa; Chordata; Mammalia; Primates; Hominidae.
GUUUGGACAUAGUGUGGCUGG